This 86-nucleotide microRNA precursor is filed under the name Solanum tuberosum (potato). RNAcentral describes it as "MIR8024 microRNA precursor family". It matches the Rfam family "MIR8024 microRNA precursor family". The record is from Rfam by way of RNAcentral. Lineage: Eukaryota; Viridiplantae; Streptophyta; Magnoliopsida; Solanales; Solanaceae.
UCAAAGAAUUUGAAGACUUCAACUUGCAGACUCAAAGAAUUUGAAGACUUCAACUUGCAGACUUAAAGAAUUUGAAGACUUCAACU